AAUCUUUCCAUUUCUUAGCAUUCCUUCUCAUCUCUUCACCAAUCUCCCCACUUCCCAUGACCAACUCCAAACACCUCUUGAACUCCUCACCCGUAACAAUCCCCUCCUCAUUUUGUGUCACCCUCAAUCCUGUCUUCCAAGUGUCUUCUAUCAACUUGGCAUUCGUCCCUUGGUCCGUCCACUGAGGAAACGCCACGACAGGCACCCCCGAAACCAGGCUCUCCAAACUUGAAUUCCACCCACAAUGUGUCACAAAGCAACCCAACGAAGGACUCGAGAGAACCGCCACUUGACUACACCAUGGCACUAUCCUCCCGAGCUCUUCUAAUUCCUCUCUGCAACUCAACAUCUCUUCUUCUUUCUUCGCCUCGUUAUCGUCUCCCUUCUUCUCGACUUUAUCUCUAAUAACCCACAAGUACGGACGGCCACAAUCCAACAACGCCUUCGCGAUUUCCUCCAUUUGGGCCUUUUCCAACACAGAAAUGCUUCCGAAGGAUACAUAAAUCACCGACCCUUCCGGCUUCGAGUUCAGCCACUCGAGGUACGAAGAGUCCUUUGAUUUUUGGAAAAGAUCGCCUCCAAAUGACUUGUCCGAUGGAACCUUGCUGUCCAAGGAAGCAGACCGAAUCAGUGGCCCGAUUCCAAUCAAAUUGUACUUGUCAAUUGCUUUUAAGGCUUCUGGCUCUAGCGCAUCGAACGUGUUCACUAGAAUGGUCGGAUUGGUUUCUCUCUCCAGCAGAUCCAUCUGUUCUUGAAACAACGGGAGGGCGAAAUUGUACGGAUUUGUAUCCACCAUGAAGGAGGGAAGGUCUCGGCUUGUGAGAGAUAAUGGCAAACCUGGUAAUUCUAUUGAACAUGGAAGGACAUCGUUCGUACCAGAACUAGUAUUAUCCCGGAUGAGAUCUUUGUACCCGUUAAAGUAAUAGUAGUAGAUGUCGAAAACUGUGGCUGGUUGAAUCCAAAGCAGUACGUUUUGGAGGUGAAGUUCAUACGCCACGUCCGCCGCCCAAGGGAGAAAUGUUGUGUAGACUAGGCAAGUGUAAGGGUGACCCUCGUUUGCACUUGAGACUACAAGGUCGGUGAUGGCUUGUGCUCCGCGGCGCCGCAGCUCCAAUGCGUAGUGGUCGUUGUUGUUGGUACGAUUAAACCCGUCGUCGUACCCAUCAGAGAAGAGUGAGUAGGUCAAUCCAUCUGGAAUUGAGUCAUUGCCUAUGCGGUGACGGGCGGAAAGGCAGGUAACGAAGGUGACAUGGGCGCCGGUAGUGUUGAUAAGACGCUUGGCGAAUUGGAGGGACGGGUUGAUGUGGCCUUGUGCCGGGAAUGUGACAAGUAGAAAGCGGUGUUGCACCAUGGCGGCGUAUGCGAUUGCGGAGUUGCGCGGUGGAGCGUGGAGGUGUUGGAAGUAGAAUAAGUAGGUACGUAAUUGAUUGGUAGAAUAUUUGUUUCUGUGGGCUUAUUAGCUGAGUGAAAUUGAAAUUCUUGUGGGAAUAUACAUUCAAGGUGGGGAGUGUGUUGAGAGGAUGUCAAGGCUUAAAUAGGGGUUUGGGGGUAGAAAGGUGACGUUUGUCGUGACGCAUUGAAGACGCUGGAGACGAAGCAAAGAUGAGAAGAAUACUUGUGUUUUGUGGUCUUCUCGAUCAUGCAUAAUAUUAUGAGUAAUACUAGGGAGGUCAUCUAUACUUAAAUAAAAUACUAUAUUUAUCACAUAUUUGUGUAUUGUAUCAUUAUUUGUAUCAUCUUUCUAAUAGAGAUAAGACCAGACCAAGUGGCCCUACAUCUAUUGAAGAGAUGAUACAAAUAUGUGAUAUGUGUAGAAAUCAUAAAUUUUAUAUCAUACGACGUGGCUAUUAAUGACACAUCACAUGAUUUACAAAUUUAAUGUAAAAAGUUAGUAUCCCUAACUUACUCUUUUCAAAUUCGCUUCAUCAAGUUUCUUAGCACAUCACGUGGACUAAAUCCAGUUUGAUGUGGUCAGAUAGACAAAUUAAGUCAUCGCCACAAAACUAAUCAAUACACAUGCGAGUGUUUGAUUUGUCUAGGUUAAUUAACUAUUGAUUCGAUCUGAUUUGUCUAGUUUAAUUAAUUAUUCAAGGCCGAGUGUUUGAGGCCAUGAAUAAUUGAGUUCGAACUAAACAGCCUAUACGGUUCAUCGUAGAUGUGAGCAACUCCACCUUGAGGGCUUGUCCUCAAUACUAGGAAAAAAGAAAACUAAGAACCAAGACACAAUCUGAUGGUGGCACGGUCCUUCACUCUAAAACUAAAGAACUAAAACUAAAAUAAGGGACUUGGAUCCUCUCCUAAGCUAGUGAAGAGGAUCCUCCUGACCAAGUGUUAUGGGCCGUUGGAUUUUCAUCUAACGGCUAUAAUUAUUAUAACUUUAAAAGGACCCACCUGUUUGUAGCCGUUGGAUAAAAAUUCAACAGCCCACAACACUUGGUCAGGAGGAUCCUCUCCAUUAGCUCAGGAGAGGAUCCAAAUCCUAAAAGAAGGACCAAAUUGUUUUCUCGUGGUCCUAAGCCGAAAGAAGGUAUGUUGAAAUAUCUAUCAUCGAUAGAAUAAGAAAAAAAGAGUUUAAAUAUCUUAAUUUCAUUCCAACUAAUAUCGAAAUCUUUUAUGAUAAAAACUUCACACCUGUCGAACUGUGUAAAGUAAUAAUUUAAAAAUGAAGACAAUAUCGAUAUUAUUGGAAGUACAUUUUUCGCAUGUAACAAGGCAAACACAUAUAUGCUCCAUGUGUCAUAAUUUAGUUCGAUAUGACCAGUAAAAAAAUAAGCAACCAUAUAGUUUUGGUGAAAUGGAAUAUGAAAUGGGCCCUACCGCGGGACUAAGACUCCUAAUCCUGCUACUAAUAAACACACAUAUGCUCCAUGUGUCGUAAUUUAGUUCGAUAUGACCCGUAAAAAAAAUAGGCAACCAUAUAGUUUUGGUGAAAUGGAAUAUGAAAUGGGCCCUACCACGGGACUAAGACUCCUAAUCAUGCUAAGAUUAUUUUAAAAGGAAAACUAAUGAAAAAUGCUUGAAAACUUUAAGUUUUAAUGAUAAGGACAAAAUAAAAGAUAAAGUGAAUAGUACUAGAAUUGAUUUUUUAGUGUAAAAAUAUGAUUUUUUGUUAAAGUGAGCAGUACAGGUGCUUUUCGUUAAAGUUCCCUAUUUUAAAUUCCUAAUCCUGCUAAGAUUCCUAGUCAAACUAAACUUCCCUAAUUAAGCUAGAUGGUUGUAGUAGUCUUCACUCAUGCAUGCAUGAUGAGUGCAAAAAUUCGCUUUCUAUUUCUAUUAAAUUAAGUGAAUAGCACAUAACAUGGACUAGUAGGUUUGACGUGGUAAGAGAGAUGAGCGAAUUUAGUGAGCACAAACCUGAUUAAUACACAUACAAAUUUGUGAUUUGUCUAGUUAGGGGCCUAAGGGCUAGGGGGCCGUUUAUCAUAUGCCAAAUUUGAUUGGUCUUGUUAAAUUUCAAGUAGACGGGUCAUGGGCCCACUCCAACAACAUCGAUAUUGUCCUUACUAGGCCACCCGCUCAAUCCGUCAGGUGUGGGGUUUUAAUACAAAAGACCUCGAUAUUAGUUAGAGUGGGGUAAUUUUAUUUAAAGGGCUUGUUCUCAAGCCUUCUGACCGAUGUGAGACAGAGGAAUUAUAACACUCCCCUGCACGUGAGACCCCAUUUUAUGGGUCACACAUGAAGUUCCACACAUCGGCAACCACGUGGAGCCAAGUCGGGGCUCACCCGUUCGUGCGAGGCCAAUGGGGACCCACCCAUUCAUGUUGCAUCUCUUGGCCUAUGUGGAGCCAAGUUGGGGCUCACCCGUUCACGCGGGGUCAAAGAGGACCCACCCGUUCACGUGGAUGUACGGGCCCAUCCCCUGGCUCUGAUACCAUCUUAAAUUUCAGGUAGACGGGUUAUAGGCCCACUCCAACAACACCGAUAUUGUCCCCACCAUGUCAAAUUUCAGAUAAAUGGGCCAUGGGCCCACUCCAACAACACUGAUCUUGUCCCCACUUAGCCACAUACUCAAUCUAUCAAGUGUGGGGUUUUAAUAUAAAAGGCAUCGGUAUUAGUUAGAGUGAGGUAAUUCUAUUUAAAGGGCUUGUUCUCAAGCUUUCUGGCCGAUGUGGGACAGAGGAAUUCUAAUAGGUCUAGCUGCAUCACACUAAAAUUGAUUGGUCUAGCUUUAUGAUACUAACUUUCCUUUAUCAACAAUGAUCAUUAGACACACAAAAUUAACCAUAUUGAUGACGUAUUUUAUAGUAGAGGCAAGUGUGCCAAAAAGUAAAAAAGUGUGGCAUGACCAUUGUCACCCUUUUAGUAAUAGCUACCUUAGCAACGUCACUCUUGCUCUGUGGUUAUUGCCCUCUUUUCUCGUAUUGGCCUAUGUUAAAGAGAAUAUAUCGACUAUGUGACCAAUUUUGUGUCCUAAAUAGUGUUACUGGGUCUUUAUUGUUAAAGCUAUUUUUGUUAAACAAAUUUGACAUUCAUCUAUUUCUUUUUCGUUUUGAAUAAGCAAUGUCCUACACUGUUAUAUUGUUAGGUUUUAUUGACCCUAAAAAUUACAAGAUGUACAUGGCGCGCAGGCCGAACAACUAAUGAGUUAACUACGUCCUUCUUAUGAAUGCAGGCUUACCAACUCACGACCGAGACUAAUUGGGUGAGUAAAAUAGAUGUGGUGGUGGUGUUGAAUGCAUUGCUGACUGCUACGCUUAAGCAACUACGACCGAGGAAAUAACGCCUCUCAGCCUAGGGUUCUAGACCCUGAAGACAAGGUUACUUAAUUCAUUGAGAAGUUCAGCAUCUUCUCACCAAAUUCGAUACCUACAACUAUAUUCGUGAGAGUAUAACUACGCUGAAUCGGUAUCAAGCUGUAAAGACAAAUAUACUCAAAAGAAACGAGUGUCUUUAUGGUGAAUGUUGUUUGGUUGUCGGAAUGACGAACUCUGAAAUGUACUUGCGAGUAACCAAUCAUAGACACCUCACUUCGCUGGGGAAGCUAAUGAAGUGGCAUCUUUCGGUGAAGGAAUCAAAGAUUCUUCAUCGGCUGAGACUUAGAUAGGUAACCAACCGAACUAGAAGUAGUGAUAUUUAAACAAACUGAAGGUAUUCCUAGGUCGACUAGUCCUACGACUCCAGUAAUGUCCACCCGAACUGAAUAUGUUGUCAGUUUGCGAACCCAAUGAUGUUCGAUUUGCCAACCAAUGAUGUUCCAACGAAAUGAAUAUAUGCAGAUAGAGGGGUUAGAAUAAUUAGUAUUUUUUUUUCAAGUUGUGACAAGGAUUUCAUGUAUUGUUGGAAUUUAGGAUUAUUUUAUUGUUUGAAUUUGGGCGUAGCCAAUUAGUAUUAGGGUUUCGUUUUCUUGCUUAUUAGGGUUAGGUUAGUUCUCUAUAUGUAUGAUGCUUUAUAGCUCGUAGAAUAAGUAAUUCACAAUGUAGUAUCUUGGAGUUUUGUAGCUAUUUUGGCAUUCUCCUUUCUUUAAUAAUAUUCUUAUUAUUUUGUAAUCUUGUUUGUUGAGCACUCUGAUAUUCAACUUGGUAUCAGAGCAGGUUUGAUCAUUCGGGGUAUCCAUGUUGUUUGUUUGAUAUUAGUUUUCAGUAUUCGUUUUGAAAAGAAAAAAAAAUUUGAAUAUGUUUGCUCGAAACCAUUCCCAGAUCCGUACAUACCUGAAGCCCUGAACCGUACCCGCAAUCGUUUCCUCAUCAGAUCACCACCACGCUACCACUAGAACCACCUGCUACAAAUCCGACUGAAUCUGCACCUCGCCUGCUUGAAACAUCGCGCCACCAUUUUCUUGAACCCAUUGCUGUAUUCUCUAUCUUUUGUAUCCACCGCCGCUGAACCUUCUGUUGUCCACCGCUGUGCUUGUUCCGAUUCCUUUCCCAACGAUUUGAUCACCUGCACCAUGAUCAGACGAAUUCAUCACCAUCCACCCAUGUUGCCGCUGCAAUCAAGAACUCUGCUGAUCCGUAUUCAUACCAUCACCCAAAUUCAACUAACCCAAGAUUGCAUGCCCGCUGCUCAUCACAUCCUUGUUGCACUGCUGCUCGACCCUGUACUCCGCUUCCGUCGUGAACCCACUAAGCCACCGCGACAAUAGAAUCCCAUCGCCACUGCACUUGCAUCAACCCCAUCUGCACACUGCCUCUGUAACUAGAAACCUAGCACAUUUGCCAUUUGAAUGGAUUGUUUGUUUGUUUGCUUGAAUCGCUUGCCUUGUCGUGUCCGCCUAAUGGAGCUUACCUUGUCGUGUCCGUCUAACGGAGCUUGUCUUGUCUUGUCCACCUAACGGAGCUUGCAUCCGCAUCUGCUUGUUGGCAAACUCAUUACGUGUAUCGCCAUGAGUUUGACGGGGGGUGUUGGAAUUUAGGAUUAUUUUAUUGUUUGAAUUUGGGCUUAGCCAGUUAGUAUUAGGGUUUCGUUUUCUUGCUUAUUAGGGUUAGGUUAGCUCUCUAUAUAUAUAAUGCUUUGUAGCUCAUAGAAUAAGUCAUUCACAAUGUAGCAUCUUGGAGUUUUGUAGCCGUUUUGGCAUUCUCGUUUCUUUAAUAAUAUUCUUAUUAUUUUGUAAUCAUGUUCGUUACACACUCUGAUAUUCAACUCGUAUAGUGUUUGAGUUGUUUUGACUUAAAGGGGGUUUUUCACGUUGUAGAACCUCUUGUAUUUAUAGGACGACAAUACUUUGGUUGAUAGGUUCCAAAACCAAUUCAAACUGCAGCACGCUCUUUGAGCUUUAUCCCAUUUUACUUGCUAGUUAUAUCCGAUGCUUAAGUCUAGUCUAGCUAACAUCUCAUGAGAAACAACUCUAAUUUGGGGCCAUGUGCAUGAUGAAGGCCUACUUCCCUCCUAAGAUGGGACUCUAUCAUUAGUUACAAGGACGAUAGAGUUCCAAACCUAUCCACAUAAGUUAUAAAUCCCAAACCUAUUGGAUGUGCUGCUCACCGUGCCCAUCUUAACAAUCAUAUCUUCUUUUAAUUUGUAGAAUGGGAAAGCAAUCACACUGCCCAUAAUCUUCAAAUGCAGCAUGUGCUUCAAAAGAGUCCAUCAACUACUGAAGCUUUAUUUUUGCUCCUAUUCCAUCGUCAGACCGCGGUACACUAAAUGAUAGGAUGAGACAAACCUGUAGUUGUGUUGAAGGAGUCUGUCAGCUUUGCUUUUGUUGCUGUCAAAAUAUUUUUAAUAAACGCUUCAAGAUAAUUAUUUUGAUGAAAAUCAACGAUAAUAUCUUAAAGAAGUUAAAUUAAAAUCUCUUAAAUCUCUCUCAUACGGCCGAAGUUUUCAGAAAUAAAAAAAAGUUAAUUAACAUCUCUUUAUUCUUAGAGCUAUCAAACAAUCUAAAAUUUUGUUCAUUCAACAACCUUAAUUGUACCAGACCGAUAGUUUAAUAGUGGGUCCAACCUUGUUUACUCUAAAAGACAGAAUGAAACUGUGAAUAGCAUGAGUGCCUCGCAACCGGUUUACCAUCGACCACAAGUAAUCAUUUGCAUUUCUUAGGAUGCUAAAACAAACAAGAAUAAAACCAAAAUAUAAAUCAGAUGGCAACGUCAUACUGCAUGGUUGCCUCUUGGUGUAUAAGCCAAACUACAGAGAAAAUAUUGGAAUGUUCUCUAUUCUCGAACAUAUAAAAAAACGUCAUCCAUGACGAUAUCUUAAAAAUCAGAUUGCAACCAAAAUUUAAAUAAUGUCUUUUAGCUUGUCUUCUGAUUGCGUAUCACGAAAAAACAUUACACCUCACAGCAAAUGAAAUUUUAGCACGUGUGUAUUCAUUCUGAAUAACGCCAUAAGAGUUCAAAGUUUAAAUGAGGGAUUCAACCAGGUUGUGCAAGACAAGAAAUCUUCUGUAUUUAUUUUGUGUGUAGCUUUUUUUAUAGUUUUUAUUCUUGAUCGAUUGACACAUGUUAAAAAGUUUAAUCUUUCUUAACUUUAUUGUCUUAAAUUUAACAUGUAUUAUUUAAUAAUAGAGAUCAUAGACAGACCAGACACAAAAUAAAUGUAGAAGAUUUGUUCUCGUUGAGGAGCUAAGCACUCAAGAUUAUCUAAAGGGAUGACGGAAGGAAAAAUAGUUAGAAUUAGGACAAGUAAAUGGUGCAGUUUUUCCAAUGUGGUAAAAAAAUACAAAAAUGGUUACGAUUAUAAUAGAUAAAUAGUUUGUUGACCAUUUGCAUGCGUAAACAGUUGAUCCUGAAACAUCUCAACAAUUAAAUCUAGAGAACUUUAACAAAAAGUUCCUGCUACUGUUUAUUUUAACGAAAAAUCACAUUUUUACACUAAAAAGUUAAUCAUGGUACUAUUCACUUUACCCUUUAUUUUGUCAUUAUCUUUAAAACUCAAAGCUUUCAAGCCUUUUUCAUUAGUUUUCCUUUAAAUCUAAGCUGAAGAGGUAGAUGUUGUGGGUCUUCAUCAGUCCAUUAGCAAGGUCAAUGCGUCCGUUGGCAAGGUCAGUGCGCCUACUGGCCAAGUCCAAUGGCAUACAUGCCUAAUGCCUUCUUGGUAUCUAUGAUUAUAUUGAAAUAGAUAAUCAUCUAAAUUAAAGAUAUAUAGAGGUAGAGGGUACUGAUUCUUCAUUUUGAAUGAAUUAGAAGGGGAUCAGACAUAAAGGAAAAUUCUUUCUUUUAAUCCUACUACAUUUUUAGAAACGAUUGAAAUGAAUAAGCUUUUCUUCUCGAGCAAUUCAUCUCUUACUUUCAAAUUUGUCACAUAUUUUUCAUUUAUUCAUUCAGCUUACCUUAAAAAUGAUAACUUAUGUAUUCCAAUUCAUUUCUCUGUACCAAACAAGGCUAUAGUUCUCAACUUAAGAAAUGCUUAGGGUCGACUCUCUCAAAGUAGGACUCUCAUAUAUUUUUUGUCACCUCACUGUAACGUCAAUUUCUAUACCAACAUUAUAAUACUAUGCUAAAAGCAUAAAAUGACAGAGAGUCUAUGAAAAAUCUCACGAGUCUCUUUAGCAUUUGUGAUAGUAACUUAUUAAACCAUUAAGAUUACUGUUGUCUCUUUAGCAUUUUUGACUACUGUCAGUUCUUCCCUUUACCUCGGUGGACACUCAAAAUACUUUUUCUUUUAGGAUAACUAAUAAAAAUGAUUUGAAAACUUUGAGUUUUAACGAGAAUGAUAAAAUAAAGGGUAAAGUGAAUAGUAUCAAGAUUAACUUUUUAGUAUAAAAAUAUGAUUUUUCGUUAAAAUGAAUAGUACCAUGAGCUUUUCAUUAAAAUUCUCUUUUGUUUUUGGGGCAAAGUGGACACCCAAUUAAAUCCAAGUAUGUGACUAGAGCAAAGUUCCUGUGGUAUUUUUCUCAACAAGGCCUUUGGUUUCUUGUGUAAGAGAGAGGCUGUAGACAGAUGGAUGUCUCCUUCCGUUUCUUUUGAGAGCACUAUUUGAUGCCACUAAUUAUCCAUUGAGGCUCCUUUUUGGAUAAAAUGUCUGGCCCCAGUAGGAUGAGAAUCUUUUCCGAGUUUUUUUGUGAAGGUUAUAGGAAUCCUCAAAUCAUAUUCGUUUAUCAUAUAUUAUGCGAUAAAAAAUUAUUUUAAAUAUUUUUAUUUAAAAUUAAACAUGAACAGUAUUUGAAGAAAACUGACCACACAAUAUACGAUGAAUAUACAUAAUUUGAGGAUCCCAGGAUCCUUACAAAGGCGAUCCGGAGAAGAUCCUCAUUCGCCCCAAUUAUCCAAUUUGAUAAAAGUUGACAGAAUUUAACAUUUAAGAUCAGUUGAAGGAGAAAUUUUUGUUAAUAUUUUAAGUGUCAUAAUAUAAGUAGUUGGAAAAAAAAAAUUUCAAAUAUUCAACCAGUAUCCAACCACAUCUAUUAUGACAGUGAGUAUAUAUCAAAUUGGAUACUGGUUGAAGGCUGGAACAUUGUCAGUUUUGUACUAGCUGAAGUUCCCAGACUCGGGUUUUAUUGAGAUUGCAAAUGCAAUUUUUUUCUGAUUUUGUUAUCGUCUUGAGACUUGUCCAUAUACAAUUAUCUUUGGACGUUUUCUCUUAUAUGUUUCUCGAUAUCCCUGGUACAUGAAGGUUUCCAAUCCAUAAUAUACUUUGGUGGCUGAGAUUUUAGGGUUCCAACCUUUCCUUGUUAUUUUAAAAAACAGGCGUUGCGUCCACUUCAAGGGUGUAACAUUUUAUUCACUCAGCGUAAUUCAAUCACCGUAAAUAUGUCAUGAUUUGAACUGUUCAAUAUUUUAAUUAUGAUUUAAGAUAUCUUAUGAUGUUGGUACCAAUUACUAUUUCAGUUUUGUUUCACUUUGUUAUCUAAAAAAGUUCAUGCUUUGAGGAACAAAAAUUCAUUUUCGAUUUUAAUCAAAAUAAUCUUGGAAAUGUAGAACAAUCAUGCUUUGAGGAACAAAAAUUCAUUUUCGAUUUUAAUCAAAAUAAUCUUGGAAAUGUAGAACAAUUUAGCUUAUGGGCUUUACAAACGUGUUUUAACAAAAUAAUCUUGGGAAGUUUUUUUAUUAUUACAAAUCAUAAUUUUUAUACACAAAAAAUGGACAAAUGAGUACCACAAUAAUCUAGAGAAUUAGAAUAAUAUCUUAUAUGUUGUGGUCUAUAUUUAAUUGACAAGGGAAGGGAGCCGGCGGCACAUAGAGACAAUAGAAAUAGAUGUAUUUGUAGGAUUGUGUAGAAGAAUGUGUGUGUUAUUCUCCCUACGCAAUGCCUUUAUUUAUAGUAAUAAGAGAGAGAAGAAAUCCUUCUCCUCCAAGAAAUACAAGUCCUAAUAGGGAAGAAUAAUAAGAAUCAAAUCUAAUAUAGGAUUUACACAAUCACACUUAAAUAAGAAGUUUAUAACACUCCCCCUUGAGUGUAUAAAUGCUCAAGUAGAUUCGGCAUCAUGUAGAGCUUGAGGAAGUCGACUCGUCGGCACUGAUUCUUGGAACAUGUUGUUCUCAAUAAGGUAGGAACUUGCAUAAGUAAGUAAGUCUCACAAAAAACCCUAAGGCUAUAGUAAAAACCCAUAGGGACAAAAUCCAUAGUCUAAGGAAAAAUGCGUGAGUAAUGCAAAGUUAAAUGAAACAUCUACGGGCAGUGGCGGAUCCAGGAAAUAAUGUUUGUGGGGUCAUAGCGCGUGCAGCGCGAAAUUUUUUUUUAGCCUCGUUUGGUAUUUCGGACUGUACUGACUAUUUCAGUCGGAUAGGAUAAAUAGUCGUCGGAUAGUACUAACUACAUUAGUCGGGCGUUUGGUGCAGUGUCGAAUUAAUCUGUGCAUUGAACAAUACUAAAUUUUUUUAAUAAUUUUUAACAAAAUAAUUGGUGUUAAAAUGAAAAAACUCACAAUAUAAACAAAUCAUCAAUAUAAUCAAAAUAAAUAUGAAUUGAAUUUCAAUUAAAUUAAAUAUAUUCUACAUAUACAAAAUAUUCAAAAUAAAUACUCACAAUAUAAACAAACCAUCAACAUAAUCAAAAUAAAUAUGAAUUGGAUUUCAAUUAAAUUAAAUAUCUCAUCUUGCAUUCUACAUAUAAAAAAUAAUGAAAAUAAAAACUCACAAUAUAAACAAAUCAUCAAUAUAAUCAAAAUAAAUAUGAAUUGAAUUUCAAUUAAAUUAAAUAUAUUCUACAUAUACAAAAUAUUCAAAAUAAAUACUCACAAUAUAAACAAACCACCAACAUAAUCAAAAUAAAUAUGAAUUAGGGUUGGAGGAGGAGGAGAAAACAAAAGAAAUUUGGGGGUUUUAGAAAGAAGGGAUUCGGAUCUGUGCAAAAUAGGGCUGAUAGGACACACUGGGUAUUUUUUUGUUUGUUCAGACCUGCCCAGGACACGCUGGGCAUUUGUUUUUUGUUCAGACCUGGCCCAAAACGACGUCGUUUUGGCCAGGUCAUUUAAAAAAAUUUCCUGGGCCAAAACGACGCCGUUUUGCUCGUAUGUUUUGAAAAAAAAGAAGCGCGCAGCUUCUUCUUCCUCUUCCUGCAGUGCCGAGCUUCGUUCAGGAUUUUUGUCGAACACUUGGCGUGCGACUCCGACCCCGACGACCCCGACGACCCCAGCUCCAAGAGGUCGCGUAUGGGAGCUUCAAGGUUGUUUCCAUGGUUUCCAAGGGGUCGUGCGACCCCGACGACCCCACUGUGGAUCCGCCCCUGUCUACGGGAUGUCAUCAGAGAUAUGAUCAACGCAAGGUGGGUGCCUCGUCAAAACCUCAUUAGGUAGCAAAAACCCUAUGGGAAAAAUGCUCCUAAUCAUAGGGAAAAAGAGUACAUUAAGAUUAAGUAAGUAUACUUCAAGAUACUCCCCUUGAGUUUGACACAAUUCCAAAGAGAAUUAGCAAUGUUACAACUCAGAAAGUUUACGCAUACCAAUUCCUUGAACAAGCUUCUGAAAUGUCACAUUCGGUUGUGAUUUGGUGAAGAGGUUGGCUAGAUUGUCUUGUGAACGGAUUUGUGUGACUUCAAUCUUCUGAUGCUCUUGCUGUUGAUGUGAGAAGAAGAACUUAGGCGCAAUAUGCUUGGUGUUGUCUCUUUUGAUGUAACGCUUCUUGAGCUGUUCGAUGCAUGCUGCGUUGUUUUCAUAGAUCGUCGUCUAGACAUCAAUGACAGGGUAAAGAUCGCAGGAGCUUCGAAUAUAGCCCACAACUGCUCUCAACCAAAAGCAUUCCCGAUUUGCUUCGUGUAAGGCGAGAAUUUCAGCAUGGUUAGACGAAGUGGCAACUAAGGUCUGUUUAGUUUACCUCUAAGAGAUUGUGGUGCCUCCAACGGAAAAGACAUAGCCCGUUUAAGAAUGCGCAUUUUGCAGAUCAAAUAAGUAUCCUGCGUCGGUAUAACCAACAAGGCGAGAAUCGACUCGAGAUAAGGGGGUGAGGCAUCAUUCAAGGAUCUAUAGGGAUAUAAUAAAUUCAGAUAUGUAGUACGUUUAAGGUAGCGGAAAAUCUCUUUAACACUAGUCUAGUGUCUACAUGUUGGUACAUUAGUGUAUCUUGCCAAAAAAUUAACAGCAAAAGAGAUGUCGAGUCUAGUGCAUUGAUCUAAGUACAAUAAAGCGCCUAUUGCAUUUAAAUAAGGAACUUCAGGCUCCAAAAUCUUUUCAUCAUCCCCUUUCAGACAUAAGGGAUCUCGUUUUGCAUUUAGCGAUCGAACGACCAUAGAAGUACUCAAAGGCUUCGCUUUAUCCUUGUUAAAGCGGCGCAACACCUUCUGGGUGUAGCUCGAUUUAUGUACUAAAAUUCCACCCAAACGGUGCUCUAUCUCGAGACCGAGACAGUAUCGAGUAUUUCCUAGAUCUUUCACCUCAAAUUCCGACUUCAGGUGCGCAACAGUUCUCGCUAGCUCUUCAAGAGUUCCAAUGAGAUUCAUGUCAUCGACAUAUACUGCAAUUAUCGCAAAAUCGGGAUGUGACUUCUUAAUGAACACACAAAGGUAUAAUUCGUUGUUCACAUAUCCUUGACUAGUCAAACACUCACUCAAACGUUUAUACCACAUUUUUCCGGAUUGCUUCAAACCAUAGAGUGAACGCCUCAGCUAAAUUGAGAGCGUGUUUCGAGGUUUGGAAAUAUUUGAUCCAGUCAAUGUAAGUCAUUCGGGAACUUUCAUAUAAAUUUUCAUAUCAAGAUCCCAAAAGAGAUACGCAGUUACUACAUCCAUCAGAUGUAUACUCAGUUUUUCGGAAACUCCCAAACUGAUAAAGUAGUGAAAAGUAAUCACAUCUAUAACGGGUGAAUAAGUUUCGUCAUAGUUAAUCUUAGAGCGUUGUGAGAAGCCUUGCGCAACAAGACGAGCUUUGUAACGUAUAAUUUUGUUCUUGUCAUUAUUCUUCCGAACAAAAACCCACUUGUAGCCAAUGAGCUUCAUAUGUGGAGGAGUAGGAGCUACAGGUCCAAACACCUUACGUUUUGCAAGCGAAUCGAGUUCGACUUGGAUUGCUUGUUUUCAGUUUGACCAAUCGGUUCUACAUCGACAUUCAUCAACAGAACAAGGUUCAAUGUCAUUGCUCAACAUGAUCUUAAUAGCUACUACAUAUACUAAUGUAUCGUCGACGAUCAUCUCAUUUCUACACCAAACAUCAUCCAAGCUGGCAUAACGGAGUGAAAUCUCAUGAUUCUCAGGAGGUGGAUUCGUUUUUUCAAGGACGCUUCCCUAAUCUAGAAUUUCCUCGUAAGUUGGAUAAAAUGAGUAGGCGACAGUUGGAUUCACGGUAAGUUCUUCAGGUCCAUGUGCCUUAGGUUUCCUUUUCCAGGGGUGUGAAUCCUUUGAACCAAAUGGUCUACCAUGCUUUUGUGUAGGGGUAGAUGAUUGGCUAGCCAUUAAUGUACUUUUGGUACAUCCAUCUUUGCAAGCACAUUUGCAGUUGGAAUAUGUGAUCUUGUCACUCGCGCUAGAUCGGUGAAAGCAUCUGGCAUGCUUUGAGCUAUGCUCUGGAGAUCUAAUAUGUGUUGCACUUCAGUCUGAGAUUGAGUGGUGCAGAGAUUUAAAUGAGACAAAGUGGGAGUCGUCCAUAACAAUUCGCGUCAUUUUUCAGGAACGUUGACGUUCUUAUCUCCCCCUAAUGACGGGAAUACUAUCUCAUAGAAGUGACAAUCCGCAAAACGAGCGGUAAACAGAUUGUCUGUCAAAGGUUCUAAGUAAUGAAUAAUCGAAUGAGAAUCAUAUCCGAUAUAGAUUCCCAUUAUUCGUUGAGGCUCCAUUUUUGUACGUAAGGGUGACGAAAUCGGCACAUAGACCACACAACAAAAAACACGCAAAUGUGAUAUGUCAUGUUCGUAUCUGAUAACCAACUGAAAUACGCUAUAUGGCUGGGUCAUAACAGGCCUCAGGCGAACCAACAUGGUUGUGUGCAAUAUUGCAUGGCCCCAAGCAGCGAUCGGGAACUUAGUACGUAUGACCCACGAUCGAGCAAUCAUUUGUAAACGCUUAAUGAAUGCCUCUGCCAAGCCGUUCUAGGUGUGAACAUGGGGUACUGGAUGUUCAACUUCAACCCCAACCAACAUGUAAUAGUUAUCAAAAUUUUUAGAUGUGAAUUCUUCAGUAUUAUCAAAUCGAAUUGAUUUGAUCAAAUAAUCAGGGUGGUAAGCCCCGAGCUUGAUAACCUAAGCCAACAGUUGGGAGAAUGCAGCGUUCCUUGUAGACAACAAGCACACGUGUGACCAACGUGUGGAAACGCCAACCAAAAUCAUAAAAUAUCUAAAUGGUCUGUAUGGAGGGCGAAUCGGUCCACAAAUGUCCUCCUAAAUCCUUUGUAGAAAAUAGGAAGAUUUAAACAAUUUUGUCAUAAGAAGGCUUAAUAAUAAGCUUUCCCAUAGAAUAGGUUUGACAUGCGAUUCCUUGAAUCGAACCUAAACGUUGGGUUAGUAUAUGCCCGUGUGAUGAUUUGAGGAUAUGGCACAUCACUAUUCGUCUAGGGUGUCCCAAACGAUCAUGUCAAAGUGUAAUUUCGUGUGCGGUCCCAGAGAUAGGAUCGGUCACAUAGUGGCUUUCUAUAGGGCGUAUAAUCGUAGUAUACAAACCACUUGGGAUACGCUCCAUCUUCUCUAGAAUAUGCUUCUGACCAUAUUCGUAAGAAGUUAUGCACAGAAAUUCAACUCUGUUUUCUACAUAGGUUUCAGCGUGGUAAUUAUUAUCUCUAAUGUCCUUGAAACUCAACAACUUUCUUCCGGAACGUGGAGAAUAGAGUGCCUCAUCAAUGGUCAAAAUUGUACCAUUGGACAACAUUAUACGUGCCUUACUGUAUCCUUUGAUCAGGUUGGUUGGGCCUGAGAUGGUUGUCAGAGGUGCAUUCUUAGAGCAAGUCCACCCCUAAGGACUUUGCGUCAGCACCCAACGCAUUUAUCCACUCAAGUGAACAGUAAUAUACUGGAGUGAACAGUAAUAUACUAGAGUGAACAGUAAUAGGCCAAGGCAUCUCCACCCCUAAAAAAAUGCGCUGGCACCCAGCGCAUUUAUUUGGUGUGUUUUUUUUUUUUUUUAAGUUUAUUUUAGAUAAGAUUUUUAACCAACUUCAGAUAAAAUUUCAAAUAAACUUAAAAAAAAAUACACACUAAAAUAAAAUUACAUACUCAUCAAAUAAACUAUAAAAAAAACACACUAAAAUGAAAUUACAUAAACUCAUCAAAUACACUUUAUUCUUCAACCACAAGUUUUUUGGUAUUUUUUUUUCACACAAAAAGUAUAUGAAAACUUUGGUAGAAAGUGUAGAAAAUAUUGAAAUAUGGUGUAAGGUGGAAGGUGAGAGUUAGGUAUUUAUAGAAAAAAUAAAUAUUUUUUUUAAUAUUUUUUGUAUUUUUUAAUAUUUUUUCUGUAUUUUUUAAUAAAUUUUAAUUUAGUUAAUUAACGUGGACCGUUGAUUUGUGAUCGGAUAGUCUAUUUUAAAAGUAAAAUUUAAAUUUUUUUUACCGUUGGAAAUCCAACAGUCUAGAAAAACUAGCCGUUGGAAAUCCAACGGCUAUGAGCAUGCCACGUCACUGAUGGGAUCCAGAGCACAAGUGGGCUGACAACCCCUCUGUAGCCUUUCGGCUACUCGCGCCCAAGCACGCUUGUCGUGCACGCACCAGCCAAAUAGGUCGGCUUCUUGGUCUAUCAAAAUUGGGUUGGCCUGUUGCCUGGCAUGGGCUGGGUGCUAGGCAACUUUGUGGGCUGAAGCAAUUUGACUGAGGGCCAGGCUGUUUUUUGUGUUGGGGGCUGGGCAAAGCAAGCCUCGGUGGUCUUGCUCUUAGGUAUGAAGUUAGUGAAAUAGAUAUGUUCACGCAAAACAGUAUGCGUGGUUACACUAUCUGCUUGACAACCAACUUUCCCACUAGUCAUACCUAGAAUAAAAAUUAAUUUGAAUUGGUCACAUGCAUAAAGUUCUUAAAACAAAUAUCCAAAAACAAAUCACCAUCAAAUAAUCCAAACAUAAAGGAAAGUUGUCCAAAAUUAAACCAAAAACACAAGGGGGUUCGGCCCCUAGGUGGAAUUAUUCGGCCCCAUUGCCUAAAUUUCAACUAGAAAAUAGUUUAUGUCUAAGAUUCUAAUCUUCCAUAAGGGUAAUAACCUCUUGAAAGUUAGAAACCUUCAUCUUUGUACUUUCUGGUUCAUCCACUUGCACAACCUUCUAGGGAGCUCGGCAAACAUGGGACCAAUGGCCAUUUGAACCACAGCAAUAGCACAUGUCCUCAUCCAUGGUUUCAAGUACUUUACCCUUAUUCUUGAAGUUUAGGGUCUUGGGUGCUAGGUUAAGGCGUUUCUGGGCUCUGUUUCCUCCCUUAGAUGGGCCUUAGCUCUGUUGACCUUAACGGGGUGGCUUCUGGCUGCCCCUACCAGGUUUAUUUUGGCAUUUUGGGCAUUUGUUUGUGCUAUGGUUUGCUUCAGGCACAAUAGUCACCCUAGUAGCUCGAGUUUGAUGAUUUUUCAUUAGCAGCUGAUUCUGCUUUUCAGCUAGAAGUAAAACAUAAAUCAAAUAUGAAAACUUAGUGAACUUCUGAGCCCUAUCUUGUUGCUACAGGACAAUAUUAGUAGUAGAGAAGGUCGAAUAGGUCUUCUCCAGGAGAUCCUCUUUGGUCAAGGUCUCGUUACAUAACUUGAGAAGUGAUCGGAUUCGACAAACUUCAUAAUUAUAUUCAUUCACAGACUUAAAGUCUUGGAAGCGGAAAUGCUGCCAGUCAUGUCUUGUUUCAGGCAAGAAGAUGUCCUUUUGGUGAUCGAAACGAUCGGCCAAAGCGACCUAGAGUGCUCGUGGAUCCUUCUCAACAAAAUACUCGGUUUGCAGUGGGUCAUGAAUAUGUCUUUGAAUGAAGAUCAUGGCAAUGGUUUUCUUAGCUUCGCCAACUGAGUUAUCCAUCUCAUCUUCAAUGGUGGGACACAAAUUCUUUGCAGUGAGGUGGAGCUUCACAUCUUGGACCCACAUGAGGUAGUUUUUUCCAAUAGACCUCCAAAGUGGUAUAGUCGAGUUUGUUCAAAUUUGACAUGUUCUUAUCACAAAAUAGAUAGGCAAGAUGUGGUUAGUGUAAUGGUGAAAAAAUCAAUCCAUUCACAUUGGUUUAGAACAUUUAGGUUCUAAUAGACAUGUAUUGGUUUAAAUUCGCAUGAAAAAAAACUUCGGGUUUUCAUGGGUGAUGUUUUUAAGAAAAACUUCAGGUUUUCAAACAAGGCAUGUUUUUAGAAACUUCAUGUUUCGAAAUAAUUAUGAAUUUCAUGUUCAUAUGUUCCUGUAGAUAAACACAAAUAUAUAUAGAGAAAUAUGUAACAAGAAAAUAUGCAAAUAGAACUUCAUGUCUAUAAAUUAUAAUAAAAUUAAUUAUUUGGACUUUGGGCCAAAUUUGAAUGUGUGGGUGAAAAUUUAUAAAACCCAAAUUGUCUAAAAAAUUAAACAAUUAUUCGGGGUCCAAAAACAGGGACCAUAAACCCAUAGGUGGGUUGAGUGAAUUUGUACCGUGGUCCAGGCCCAAAAAUUGGGCUGGGGUUAGGCACCGACUAAUCGGUCCCCAAAAUAAAUUUGGGUUGUGGGCCCAGUAGCGGCAAGGGGUUGCAAGAAGACCGGGCCUAAAGCAUAGGACCAAACAGGGUGCUGAUCAGGUGUAGUGGGAAACAAGCUAGGGCUGUAAGCCCACUCAAAGGCAUGCUCAUGUGCUUCGCGGUAUAGUGCACCGGUGUUCCAACUUCAAGUUGGGAUCACAUGCAUGCGGGCGUAAGGACACCAGGGCCCCUACGGGCUAGUGUCACACUUGAGUCGAGCCAUGGUCUUGGGCCGCAUCUGUGAGCCCAGUCACGAAAAAAAAUAUUUUUUUUUCAUAUGCCGAGAGGGCCAGCCCAAUUGGGCUUAGGUUGCAACAAAAGGAACACCCCAGCUUCGCUGGGUGUGGUCACCAAGGACGAAGGUCGGCGCCGUCGUUUUAGGCUGUCGUGUUUUGAUCAAAAGAACUCGAAACGAGUUGUGAUGUUUGACAUGGAACCUGGAUGGUGUGAUGGAGAAGGUCUCGACAUCCAAAAACCAAAGAAAAACCUAGGAUUCGAAUUUGGGUUUUCAAAAUCCGGGGAGAUUCAUACGAAUCUCGGCCAAAAAAAGGUCGGCGACGAUUGCAGGUCGUCGGGGAUGGCAGCUGUAGUGGCUGGGCAUGGCUGCAGGCCAUGCUUGUGAUGCUGUGAAGGGUGUCGGGGUUUUUGGGCUGGGUUCUAAAGGUUUGGAGCUUCGAGCUCCUACUGUGGUUCGGGUUUGGGUUCAAAGAACCCUAGAAAUUUUUUAUUUUUUUUCUUUAUUUCCAUAUUAUAAUUCAAUGCAUAUUGAAAAAUAAUUUAAUGCAUGAGCAGAUAUUUGAUGCAAUUCAAGGCAAUAUCAAAUUCACGUAAUUCAACAAUUAUGGGGAAUGUUCAUGCCAUCAGGGCUGCAAAAAUAUCGAGAUAAAAACCGUUGUUUUGGAAGAACCUGAUUGCGUGAUUAUAUGGAUGAACUGGUUUGAUGUAGAAAACUUCCAUGUCAGAUUCCUAAGCACAACAGUAGGAGCGUGCUAAUAACGUGUUGUGGCCUAUAUUUAACUGACAAUGGAAGGGGGCCAUAGGCACAGAGAGAGAAUAGAGAGAGAUGUGUUUGUAGGAUUGUGUAGAGGAAUGUGUGUGUUAUUUCCCCUACACAGUGCCUUUAUUUAUAGUAAUAUGAGAAAGGAGAAAUCAUUCUCCUCCAAGGAGUACAAGUUCUGAUAGGGAAGAAUAACUAUAAUCAAAUCUAAUCUAGGAUUUACACAAUCACACUUAAAUAAAAAGUUUAUAAAAUUAUACGCUUUACAAGCGUGUUUUAAUUUUAAUUUUCUUAGUCAAUCAAUGGAGUAGUGGUGCUUCAAAUAAUAAUAAAGUUCAUGCUAAAAAAAUGUAGAUUCAUUUCUUUAUUUCAAGAUAAAUAAAAUUGAAAAUGGUGUUGGCUGAUUUAGGCUGCUAAGAAUCAAAAUCAUGUAUUUUAAAACCCUUGAAUUAGAAACAUAAACUUGAUGUCAAACUCAAAUUCACCAAUGGACAUCAAUGGUAGAGUACAUUAAAUAAUUGGGAGUUUUAACGAAACACUCCCGGUACUGUUCACUUUUAACGAAAAACCAUAUUUUUACCUUUUCCUGAUACCAUUCACUAUACCUUUAUUUGUCAUUUUUCAUUAAUACUAAAGUUUUUUUAGACUUUUCGUUUGUUUUCCUUAAAUAAUUUCCAAAUAGACAUUGUACAACUUACAAACAAGUCCUAGAAAGGGCUAGCGUACAAAAGGAUGCCACUUAUGAAAACAAAAUAUGAGUAAUAGUUCAUCUCUACAAUGUUUACAAGGUUUCAACUAAAAAAAAAUUAUCUUCAGAGACCCAACAGUAGCUAGUAGAGAAAAUUCUAGAAGCCUAGGUGAGGAAUGACCUGUCGCUAAUGCCCCAAAGGCACCCAAUCACCCACACUGCCAAUUUAACACCACAAAAUAGAACUUGUUCACCCCUAGAUCAUACAUGUACAGACUUUCAAAAGCCCCAAAAAUAAACAAAGUUAAACCUCAAACAUAUAACAUCAUAAUACCCAUUACAAAACUAAAAUUUAUCACUAUUUUUUGCUCAAAAUUUAUCACUAUUUAACCUACCAUCCAAUUGAAGCAGCCAAACCUCACAACUAUAUGCACCACCACACAGGGACAAGAAAGAAUAUAGUUCCAAUGCCGGCAAAUGAAGACAUGAAUCGAAAACCAAAGAAAGAGGCGAGGCAAAGCUCCGCGUGGAAACCAAAGUCUUAGUUCCAUACACCUUCAGCUGAAUGAGGGACGAUUCGUUCUAAGUGUGGGUAGUAGACACCAGAGCUUGGUCAGACUUCUUAAUCGAAUGUGGCCAUUUUGACGGCAAAUGAGUCUUGAGGACUGGAUUUGUAGUAUGGGUUAGAUAUUUGUGGUUCAUUUGGGGCUAAUUAGGAUCUGGUGCACAAUAGCACGAAUAGGGGGAAUUAAGAGGAUAGCCAAAAGAGGGGAAGUCAAGUUCCCGAAUUGAGACGUAGCUCAAGCCCACAACCACCAUGAAUCGGGAUUGAGGCAAAUCAUCAUCUUUGGAGAGAUGGGGCAAGCUACCAUCAUGGGAGAGAUGAAGCAAAAGAGCACUUAAGAGGAAGUGGGGAGGAGAGAGAGAGAAGGAGAAAGGUAGAUGAAGAAACGGGAGGGGCAAUUGUUAUACACCAAUGACAUCUGAUGCACUCCCAAAACACGCACAUUCAUUUCAAUUCUCUAGGAUUCAUUGGAGGCUGGCGUCUCCUUUAGAGAAUCAUGUCGUACGUUUCUUGCAAUUGUUAUACACCAAUGAUAUGUCAUCAUCUCAUGCACUCAAAGCUACUCUUCAUUUUGCUUGGCGUCCUUCUAGCCCGUGGCGUUUGGUGCAUUUGGGAAAGGUCUAUUACGACAUUCACUUUGAGACUGAAGAAGAUAUGCCCCGAGUUUGGAGAGGAGGAACCUGUACAUUCCCAACUAGUAUUUUCAUAUUAUCGCAACGAAAGCUGGUUUAUAAUCUUAGUGAAACUCUUGCCCAUACUCAAUCUCAGGUUUGGGUACGUAUCCAUGGUCUCAGCCAGAAAUAUACUGGGGCACACGCGCACACAAAACACCCUCGCGACACCUAAUGGAAAUAGCGAGAGGUGUAGGCACUCCUCUUCAAUUGGAUAGGUCUACUAAAGAUUGAGUUUAUGGCUACUAUGCCAGAAUUCUUGUGGAUAUGGAACGAGCAAUCGAAAAGAUUCUGAUGCAUUCUCGAAUUUAAGUAUUGUUCCUCGAUCUUCCGAGUAAUCUUCCUUCUUCUCUCAUGUGUGACAAUUUAACAAUGGAUUUGCUCAGUCAUCAACAGUUGAAUAAACAAGACAAUUGCAAGUAGGUUCCAUCUGAAGGUCGCAAACGAAGUCAUCUAGGUGAGAAGAAUCGUGAUCCUUCUCCUAUUGGUCUGAUCAAACCCUAAAUAUUGUCAACCAAAUUCUCGAGGAUGUGAUCAACGAAGAAUUAAAACGCAUUGUUGUUGUGGUGGUCACAGAGAAGGAGGAUGUUGUGAUUACAGAUAUUGAAAAAGAUGAUGAUCAAGCUCGUUAGAAAGUUCUUUUAAAAUGACUGAAAGUGCUUUGAGAUGAAAUGUUUCUGGUUGAAUUGCUUCUUGCAAAAAGCACCACUUAUGUGCUUCUUGCAACAAACAUUUCAAGUGUUUUCUUUCAAAAUUUACUUGUACUUUUAUUAAAAUUAAUUCCAAAAAUAUUUUCAAUAAGACUGCAUUCAAUUAUUUUAAAAUAUUUUUCAAACGAGCUAUUAGUUAUUGAAUAGGUUUCCCAUGUUGGCCGUGUUAGUGACGAUGGGCCUUAACUAGGUUUCCCGUCAAAGCAGAACCGAUGACCUCAAGAAAUACAUAUGUGGGAGUUCAAACUCAAAUUGAGGGCUCCAAUUCUUUGCUUGCUUUCCACUAGACCAACAUUUCUCCAUAAGUGAAUAUGGCUAUAAUAAACAUCAACUUGGCUACCGCUUAUGUAGAACAUAAUAUAUUGUGAAAUACCUCAUGUAUUUAAAAAUAAAUAAAAAAUUGGUUACUAUUUUUACAUAUAUUUAAUACAUUUAUUAUCUAACGGUUAUAUAUAAUUCAUGUGAAUAUAUGUUUUUUGUACAAUCAAAAUGUGACCAUUGAAAUGUCGCAUUGUUGCUAAUACAACUUUGAUCUUGGCCCAAAUGGAGUUGGUUUAACUUUCCACAAAAUGAAAUCCAAACGUAACCCCUUACUUUCCCGCCAUCAUCUACCAUCCUCUCACACCUUUUUGCCGCCAAAUAUCUCUUUUUCCAUCUCUCUCCUUCGCUAAACGGUUUAGCCUAAACCCUCUUCUCUUCUCUCUCUCUCUCUCUCUCUGAUUCCUAGAGUCUGAAGCGGCCAUGGAAGAAAACCAAACUUCCAUGAAAUGGAACCGGCCUUCACCUGUAAUGUUCAUGAGCACCGGCGCCAAAUCUCAGAUCCAUCUCCACACCCACUAUACGGUAAAGGCUUCGCUAAUUUUCUUGGUAUACUAGACCAUGUUCUGGGAACACUUAAAAACUCUCCAUUGGAUUUUCAUAAAGAAAUUUGUCUUUUACAAAUGUGACAUUCGAGUCAUUCAAUUUCCUGGCAUUUUUUUUGCAAGUAACAUUAAAACAAAGUUACACCAUAAUUUAUUUUUAAAAAGAUUUACUUAAAUGCAGAAGGGAGAGUACAUUAUUCUAACUACAAUUUUUAUUUGCAAUAACAAAGGAGACAACUACACAUUUUAAAAGUAAACAACAACAAAACAACAAUAAAAAAACAUUUUCUCACUAAGUGAGGUCCGCUAUAUGAAUCCUAGAAUGUCAUUACGUUCUGUUCUGUGUCAUGUCUUCCGUUAGAUCUUAGUACUCUAAAUAUUUUCUUAGAGUCUUUUCCAAAGUUUUUCUAGGUCUUCCUCUACCUCUUCGGCCCUGAACUUUUAUCUCGUAAUCGCAUCUUCUAACAUAAGCAUCAGUAAGUCUUCGUUUCACAUGUCCAAACCACCAUAACCGAUUUUCUCUCAUCUUUCCUUCAAUUUUGGCUACUCCUACUUUACCUCGGAUAUUCUUAUUUCUAAUCUUAUCUUUUCUCGUGUGCCCACACAUCCAAUGAAGCAUUCUUAUCUCCACAACACCCAUUUUAUGUAUGUGUUGAUGUUUCACCGUCCAACAUUCCGUGUCAUAAAGCAUUGUCGGCCUUAUUGCCGUUCUAUAAAAUUUUACCUUGAGCUUCAGUGGUAUAUAACGGUCACAAAACACGCCGGAUGCACUAUUCCACUUCAUUCAUCUAACUUGUAUUAUAUGGUUGAGGUCUCUAUCCAACUCUCUGUUCUUUUGCAAGAUAGAUCCUAGGUAGCAAAAGCGGUCGCUCUUUAACUCAUUUGAGCCUCCGUUUGCACUGAACUUGCACUUCAUAUACUUUGUCUUUGACUGACUUAGGCGAAGACUUUUAGAUUCCAACAAUUUCUCUCCAAAGGUUAAGCUUUGCAUUUACUCCUUCCUGAGUUCAAUCUAUCAACACUAUAUCGUCUGUGAAAAGCAUACACCAAGGAAUAUCAUCUUGAAUAUGUCCCGUUAACUUAUUCAUUACCAAUGCAAAAAGGUAAGGACUUAAACAUGAGUCUUGAUGUAACCCUACAAUUAUGGGAAAGUUUUCAGUUUGUCCUUCAUGAGUUAUUACUGCAGUCCUUGCUCCAUCAUACAAAUCCUUUAUAGCUUGGAUAUAUGCUACUCGUACUCCUUUCUUCUCUAAAAUCUUCCAAAGAAUGUCUCUAAAAUCCUCCAUCAUACACACUAAAAUCCUCCAUCAUACACAUUUUAAAAGUAAAAUAAAAAAUAUUUGUCCAUGCAAUAGACAUUACAAUUACAAAAGUCGACCAUUUGUUUAAGAAAACAUCAAUGUAUCUGAUCCAAGAAAGCCUUGAGAUUCUUGUCCGAAGACCCCCCUUCACUCACAGCCUCUCUUGCCAAAUCUUUCCAUUUCUUAGCAUUCCUUCUCAUCUCUUCACCAAUCUCCCCACUUUCCAUGACCAACUCCAAACACCUCUUGAGCUCCUCACCCGUAACAAUCCCCUCCUCAUUUGGUGUCACCCUCACUCCUGUCUUCCAACUGUCCUCUAUCAACUUGGCAUUCGUCCCUUGGUCCAUCCACUGAGGAAACGCCACCAUAGGCACUCCCGAAACCAAGCUCUCCAAACUUGAAUUCCACCCACAAUGUGUGACAAAGCAACCCAACGAAGCACUUGACAGAACCUCCACUUGACCACACCACGGCAAUAUCCUCCCGAGCUCUUCCAAUUCCUCUCUGCAACUCAAUAUCUCUUCUUUCUUCGACUCAUUAUCGUCUCCCUUCUUCUCGAUUUUAUCUCUAAUAACCCACAAAAACGGACGGCCGCAAUCCAACAACCCUUUUGCGAUUUCCUCCGUUUGGGCCUUUUCCAACACACAAAUGCUUCCGAAGGAAACAUAAAUCACCGACCCUUCCGGCUUCAAGUUCAGCCACUCGAGGUACGAAGAGUCCUUUGAUUUUUGGAAAAGAUCGCCUCCAAAUGACUUGUCCAAUGGAUCCUUUCUGUCCAAGAAAGCGGACGGAAUCAAUGGCCCGACUCCAAUCAAAUUGUACUUGUCAAUUGCUUCUAAGGCUUCCGGCUCUAGUGCAUCGAACGUGUUCACUAGAAUGGUCUGGUUGGUUUCUCUCUCCAGCAGAUCCAUCUGUUCUUGAAACAAUGAGAGGACGAAAUUGUACAGAUUUGUAUCGACCAUGAAGGAGGGAAGGUCUCGGCUUGUGAGAGCUAAUGGUAAACCUGGUAAUUCUAUCGAACAUGGGACAUUGUUCGUACCAGAAUUAGUAUUAUCCCGGAUGAGAUCUUUGUAGCCGUUAAAAUAAUAGUAGUGGAUGUCGAAAACCGUGGCUGGUUGAAUCCAAAACAGCACGUUUGGGAG
RNAcentral lists this long non-coding RNA (25315 nucleotides) under Malus domestica (apple). Its description in RNAcentral is "long non-coding RNA (MDOM_LNC003517)". The record is from RNAcentral. Lineage: Eukaryota; Viridiplantae; Streptophyta; Magnoliopsida; Rosales; Rosaceae.